Molecule: long non-coding RNA, 925 nt
Filed under: Spirodela polyrhiza (greater duckweed)
Lineage: Eukaryota; Viridiplantae; Streptophyta; Magnoliopsida; Alismatales; Araceae
Description: long non-coding RNA (SPOL_LNC002328)
Source: RNAcentral
GCUGGGUUAAGAGCCUGAGAAAGGGAAUCGUUUUUAUGUUGGCGCGGAAAGCAUGGUCAUCACAGUAGAUAAUGCAGGAGAACAACUCCGUGAAAUCAGGUACGGUUGACAUAUAUUCUCAUCAACGGGGAGAGUGCGACUUCAUUCAUUUCGCUGUUAAAUUAUCCGCCUUGACUUUGUCGACUUCCUGCCUGCCGUGAAAUCGAUCAGGAGGGAGGGAAAGGCUGACUCUGCCAAUGACGAAACGAGAGCUGGAGAAAGCAAGCCUCCAGGUCUUCACUACGGAUAGCCAACAAGCUUCUACAAGCUAGAAACUUUGGGGAGUUGCUUUUGCGGACGGGUCGUCAGUGCGCUCGGAGAAGCAGCUGGCGGUGGUGGCGAUGUGGUUGUGGAUGCUGGUGAUUUGUAUCCUGACGCUAAAAUCCGCCUCGCAGGGCCAGUCUACGGCAGGUGUUCCCUCUUUUCCGUCUAUUCCGAUUUUCUGGCCUGCAUUCAGCUAAAACCAGCGAGAAAAUACAUCUGUAAGCCGCUGCUUUUCUUGCUCAAGAAGUCCAAUUCCCAGACAAACAGGUAGAAGAGACCAUUUUAGAAAUUUCUUGUCCGCAGGAGAAUCGUGUUUGAAAUCCAAAAACUUUACACUGUUUCAAAGAAAAAUCUCUCGUUCCCUUGUAAGAUGCUUCUCAAAAGUAAGGUCUUUUUCAGGUUUCAUUAGCAUAGACUGCGGCCUCGAUGGGGACUCUAAUUACACGGAUUCGACCACGAAGAUCAUCUACUCACCGGACGCCCUCUACAUCGACAGAGGGGAGAACAGGAGAGUUUCCCCAGAUACUUGUUGGCUUUGCAAAGCCAAAGAACGCUUCAAGAACUUCCAGAGAUGGAAGGAAAUCAAGAAAAUAAGAGAAAAACAAACUUCGCGUAAUGAGAA